AGCGAACGCUGGCGGCAGGCCUAACACAUGCGAGUCGAACGAACUCUUCGGAGUUAGUGGCGGACGGGUGAGUAACACGUGGGAACGUGCCUUUAGGUUCGGAAUAACUCAGGGAAACUUGUGCUAAUACCGAAUGUGCCCUUCGGGGGAAAGAUUUAUCGCCUUUAGAGCGGCCCGCGUCUGAUUAGCUAGUUGGUGAGGUAAAGGCUCACCAAGGCGACGAUCAGUAGCUGGUCUGAGAGGAUGAUCAGCCACAUUGGGACUGAGACACGGCCCAAACUCCUACGGGAGGCAGCAGUGGGGAAUCUUGCGCAAUGGGCGAAAGCCUGACGCAGCCAUGCCGCGUGAAUGAUGAAGGUCUUAGGAUUGUAAAAUUCUUUCACCGGGGACGAUAAUGACGGUACCCGGAGAAGAAGCCCCGGCUAACUUCGUG
RNAcentral lists this ribosomal RNA (433 nucleotides) under uncultured bacterium. Its description in RNAcentral is "partial 16S ribosomal RNA". It matches the Rfam family "Bacterial small subunit ribosomal RNA", at positions 29 to 507 of the family's 1533-position model. The record is from RNAcentral.